Molecule: unclassified non-coding RNA, 236 nt
Filed under: plant metagenome
Description: partial contains small subunit ribosomal RNA, internal transcribed spacer 1, and 5.8S ribosomal RNA
Source: RNAcentral
UUUCCGUAGGUGAACCUGCGGAAGGAUCAUUACUGAGUGAGGGCCCCUCGGGGUCCAACCUCCCACCCGUGUUUAACGAACCUUGUCGCUUCGGCGGGCCCGCCUCACGGCCGCCGGGGGGCAUCUGCCCCCGGGCCCGCGCCCGCCGAAGCCACCUGUGAACGCUGUCUGAAGUAUGCAGUCUGAGACAAUUAUUAAAUUAAUUAAAACUUUCAACAACGGAUCUCUUGGUUCCG